Molecule: ribosomal RNA, 1230 nt
Filed under: Triticum aestivum (bread wheat)
Lineage: Eukaryota; Viridiplantae; Streptophyta; Magnoliopsida; Poales; Poaceae
Description: partial small subunit ribosomal RNA
Source: RNAcentral
AUGGCUAUGUUCCUUCACCCUAAAACCUUCAUUGAAAAACUGGACAAGAGGAGACGUCGGUUUUUCUGGCAAAGUUGGGAGGGACGAAAAAGAUAUCACUUGGUCCGUUGGAGCAGAGUGUGCCGCUCCAAAGACAAAGGCGGUUUGGGUGUGAAGGACUUACAUAAACAAAAUAUCAGCCUCCUAGUGAAAUGGUGGUGGAAACUGGAUACUCAAAAUGGGCUUUGGCAAGAUAUCGUUAAGGCCAAAUACUUGAAAAGGGAUACGGUUGGUACGGUGAAAAGCAAGUUCAAUGAUUCUCCCAUCUGGAAAAAUAUUAUGAAAGUAAAAAAUUACUACAUGUGGGGGAGAACAGUCCAGAUUAACUCGGGGGAUGUAGCUCAAGUUUGGGAGGACUCUUUGAAUGGAAUGCCUCCUAUGUGUGUUCAGUAUCCACAGUUGUUUAGCAUCUGUAAUCUGCCUAAGAUUACAGUUGACAAACUGGGAGGAGUGGAGGCCGGCGAUAUGUUUCGCAGGAGGCUAAACCCCCCUCUCGAAAACAUGUGGAAUGAGAUGUGCACGACUGUGUUGAAUACUAUCUCUUCAGCUGAACCAGACCAGGUUGGCUGGGCUCCUGGACCUAAACACCGCUUCACUACUAAAUCCAUGUACAAGUUGCUUGAAAGCAACAUUGCACGGUGUGACUACCGGUGGAUUUGGAAAGCCAAAAUUCCCCUUAAGAUCAAAAUCUUUAUAUGGCAGUUGUUUCAGGACGCGGUCCUGACGAGAGAUGUUAUGAAACGUCGAAAAUGGCCUGGCAAUGCUAAGUGUUCGUUUUGUGCUGCCCGUGAGACGGCGCAACAUCUUUUCUUCCUUUGCCCAGUUGCCAGGGUGAUUUGGCGAUCGGUGGGAGCAGUCAUGGGGGCUGACUUAUGUCCCAAUAACAUUUGGCAAUAUUACACUUGGUGCUAUAUCUAUCUUCCUGAUGGUGCUAAAUUCUAUACCUUCGGCCUUGCUGCCAUCUGCUGGGCAGUAUGGAACUAUCGUAACAGAGCAACCUUCGAGUUUAAGCUUCCUAAAACUCCUUUUGAGAUUGUGUUUUCCGCUUGUGUCUUCAUCACCUACUGGGCAGGUCUCUUGAAGGGGGCAGACCGUGAGGCGAUGGAGCGUGAGUCACAAAUGCUGAGGAGCAGCACAAGCAACAUGAUGAUGAUCUGCGCCGCUGCGACAGAAGAUUCGGCGACAACUUGA